GCCGCCGUGGCGCAAUGGUAGCGCGUCGCUUUCCUAAUUACAAGGAGUAAUUUCAUAAGGCGGAGGUUGUGGGUUCGAUCCCCACUGGCGGUU
Mycena rebaudengoi is the source of this 93-nucleotide non-coding RNA. The record is from the annotation of a GenBank genome assembly. Lineage: Eukaryota; Fungi; Basidiomycota; Agaricomycetes; Agaricales; Mycenaceae.